GCUCAUCUCCUCUUCCUUGAAAAAGGCGCUCAUAAUCUAUUCCACAUGCGGGAGUGUGAUGGCAAGUGCCUCACCUUACCAACCACGUUCAGGGGGUGGUUUCAAGCGUGUGCAACAGGUAGAUACGCGCCGAUAUCCUACCAACAGAGAACGAAAGCUACGCGCGCGCCGCGCGCGUGUUGAGCGCGAGCUUAGCGCAUGCCGAGCUCGCGCCGUUCGAGCUUUGCGCCGUAGCUAUCAGGUAGCCGGCGAAGGCGUAUAUAACCCACACCUGACGAAACGUUCAGCACACUCCGACGGUGAGCACCACCGAGCUAGCGUCGUUCUGUCAGCUCUGUUGCGUUCUACUCGUUUCCGUUUACAUACGUAAAACACACGUGUGACUUAAGUCUACUACGCACUCAGUGAGUGUUUUUACUUAUUUUACUUCACGUUUUUAACUUACAACCACGACAAUGUGUCUGCCAAAUAAUCUUAAUAACGCUAACAACACUAAGAAGCAAGCGAGCAUGGCUGCUGUCAAGCUCAAGGCUACAACACCUUGGGGUCGAAUCAAACAGCAAUUGAAACCCCGACUAUCUCGUAAAAUCGUGCCAUCAUCCAAGAUCAACUUGAAUAACUUCUGGGAGGACUUCGCCCAAAGCUCCUCGCCGGUCGAGUUCUCCGACCACAGCAGCGAAAUACACGACAACAUCAUCAACGAACUGUUAGAGCUCUAACUUGAUCACAUCGAUCAUAGCCCAAUGAAAACUGUCAAGCUUUCCAAGCUGAUCAACUCGAUUCAGGACCAAUCAGGACGACGACUACGAAUUAUUCCGAUGAUACUCAUUAGUUGUAAGUGACUUCAACAUAACCUUAAAUUAAGCUUUAGUUUAUAACGGUAUAUCUAGCUUUAAUUAAAUACCUUCAAUGUGACUUAAGUAUAGGCUAGGAUCAUCAGAAAUCAUUUAGGCUAGUAAUUCAUUUAAGGGGUAGAUUAAUCAUGAAAGCAUCAAGCAAUUCAAGGGAGCUUUAAAACUUAGGUUAUAAGUCAUCAGUGAUUUCAACAUGUGAUAAUUGAUUUGCAAUGCUAAAUAUGCAGAGUUUAUUUAUUAGGAUUACUUACGCAGCUUUAACAUACAUAUCGCUUUAAUAAAUAAUAAGAGAAAUCUUGCUAACAUUAAAAAAAAACACAUCGGAUUUGCUCAAGCUUUAAAACUAGCUUUAUCUACUUAUAAUUCACAAUUAAUUGCGUCGACAUAUCUCGACUUCGGUGGAGUGUAUGUCGAGGCGGCAAUCAUUGAGCUUUAAAUAAUCAUAACUUGGAGAAGCUUUAAUUAGGAUUUAAGCAUGUGUUGCAAUCCUUGGUCUUCCAUUAAUUACAAACGCACACAUGCAGCUUUAUAACACGUGCAAUUUUAUUAUCGUAUAAGCUUCACACGCAAUCGCUAAGUGCAAUCAAAAUUUAGGUUAAUUAUAAAUUUUAGGGAUUUGCAAUAUAUUCGGAGCAAUAAUGGAUACUGUGAUAUUUGAAUUGAUAUGAUUUAAUAAUAGAUUUAGCAGCUUUAACUUCGCUUUAAUUGAUCGAACUCUUCGAAAGCUUUAACUAGAUUUUAAGUUCCCGAAGGAUGUCCUCCUUCGUCCACAGGGCAUGGAGGCAAAUCCGCGGGAAAUAGGCCGAAAUAGUGUCAAUGUUUAUUUGUAAAUAAGCACAAAAAUGAUUAAUGCAUAGCUUUAGCAGUUAGCUUUAAUGGAACUUAGCAUAGAGCACCCACAUAAGUAGGCUUUACCUCGCACCGUCUUGUACAUACGCACUUUUUGCACAUGAUAAGAAUAUAAAGAAAAAAUUAAAAAACCUAAAAAAACACAUGAUAUUCGCUCGUUGCAAAUGAAUGUGAUCGGUGGAAUCGAGACUUGAAUUAAGACUAAUUAGUUACUAGAUUAAUAAUCGGAACCAAUGAUGCUUUAUCACGUAAAAUUUAGUUCAGCUUUAAUUAGAUUUAUGUAAUUGGUUAGUUAAUGAUGAUACCUGUGAUACAACCAGCUUCGUUAAUGAUUUCUGAAUUAGUUUUUAAGUGAUUAAAUUUAUAAGUAGCGCUAAGUGAAUUUGUCGUUCGCUGCAAUGUGACUGAGACGUUUGAUUGUAAUUAAUAGUUUUUAAGUUUUAAAACGAUACUAAUUGUUAAGCGGAUAAGUGAUAACUGUAAGUGAUUAAUGUUGUAAUGAUAAUUGUUAAUUAUAAUUGACUCGUAGCUGUAGCAUCAAUGUUUAUUAUUGUUUUUGUGUAAGUUGUGAACGUUUAGUUCAAUCACUCAUGUAAACACUAGUUGAUAAGUUUUUUUUAUGAAAUAAAAAUUAAAAUUAAAAAAAUA
Dalotia coriaria is the source of this 2351-nucleotide long non-coding RNA. RefSeq lists it as uncharacterized. The record is from RefSeq and is a predicted model, not a curated record. Lineage: Eukaryota; Metazoa; Arthropoda; Insecta; Coleoptera; Staphylinidae. The transcript is spliced from 2 exons.